CCUACGGGUGGCAGCAGUGAGGAAUAUUGGUCAAUGGAGGCAACUCUGAACCAGCCAAGUCGCGUGCAGGAUGACGGCUCUAUGGGUUGUAAACUGCUUUUAUGCGGGGAUAAACUGAGUCACGUGUGGAUUUUUGCAGGUACCGCAUGAAUAAGGACCGGCUAAUUCCGUGCCAGCAGCCGCGGUAAUACGGAGGAUCCGGGCGUUAUCCGGAUUUAUUGGGUUUAAAGGGUGCGCAGGUCGUCCUUUAAGCCAGUUGUGAAAUGCCGUGGCGCAACCGUAGCACUGCAGCGCAAACUGGAAGACUUGAGUGCGCCGGAGGUAGGCGGAAUGCGUGGUGUAGCGGUGAAAUGCAUAGAUAUCACGAAGAACUCCGAUUGCGAAGGCAGCCUAC
This 394-nucleotide ribosomal RNA is filed under the name uncultured bacterium. RNAcentral's name for it is "partial 16S ribosomal RNA". It matches the Rfam family "Bacterial small subunit ribosomal RNA", at positions 338 to 729 of the family's 1533-position model. The record is from RNAcentral.